UACAGAGGCCUCAAGCGUUGUUCGGAUUCAUUGGGCGUAAAGGGUGCGUAGGCGGCGCGGUAAGUCGGGUGUGAAAUCUUGGAGCUUAACUCCGAAACUGCAUUCGAUACUGCCGCGCUUGAGGACUGGAGAGGAGACUGGAAUUUACGGUGUAGCGGUGAAAUGCGUAGAUAUCGUAAGGAAGACCAGUGGCGAAGGCGGGUCUCUGGACAGUUCCUGACGCUGAGGCACGAAGGCCAGGGGAGCAAACGGG
RNAcentral lists this ribosomal RNA (253 nucleotides) under uncultured bacterium. RNAcentral describes it as "partial 16S ribosomal RNA". It matches the Rfam family "Bacterial small subunit ribosomal RNA", at positions 524 to 776 of the family's 1533-position model. The record is from RNAcentral.